Molecule: long non-coding RNA, 1937 nt
Organism: Cyprinus carpio carpio
Lineage: Eukaryota; Metazoa; Chordata; Actinopteri; Cypriniformes; Cyprinidae
Source: Ensembl
CUGUGCGCCAUGUUUGUGUAAUCGCGAUGCGUGAGGGAACAAACAAGAAGAGAAUGAUUACAGAUGAGAUUUUAUGUACUGCAGACGAUGAAUCAAUAAGUAUAUUUUUAUAUUAGCUUUCUUUAUUCUUAAUUUAGUCUUGCCAUUCCUGCGGCUUUCAUCCUAACGCGGCAGUUCUUGCUAACUGUUAUUCUGAUAUCGGGAUGUGAUCGCGUGUGUGGUGUGGACCAAAAAAAAUUUGGCAUCUGAAAAUACAAUAUUUUAUUUUAACUAAACGAUUUAAGAUUCAAUUUAAUGCUACUGGACAAAAUUCAGAUAUCCGAUCUUGUAAUAUUUAAUGUACGUUACAUAAUCGAUAUUAUAACCACCAGUAAUAAUCGAUAUAUCAGCCACCUCUAGAAAUAAUGCUGUUUCUUCUUCUUCUUCUUCUUCUUUUUUGCAUUUAAAGAGCGAGAUGUUCUGUUACUGCUUGUGUUUGUAAUAUGUAAUAUUUUUGUACUUAUCUGGAGUUAUUCAUUAAUUUUGCAGGAUCAGUACAGUUUUGUUACUGGAGAUAAGUUACAGUGUGGAAACCACUGAUCUAUAAUAUAGAAUAUUAUAUAUUAUAUAUAUAGAUCAGUGGUGGAAACACAGACCAGUGCUGAAGAGGUGAUGUUAGAAGUUUUUAAUGAAUUGUUGCCCAGCCAGCUCGCCUUGAUCACACAUUAUAAGCUAAAAGUGCCAUUAAGUCACUAUCCAUAUGGAUUUUAACUGCUUUGAAUCUUUUCCAUUUGCAAGUAAUAUAUUCCCUCCUGUGCAUUUACAGACCCCCCUCUAAUCAUCUUAUAUUUUACAGGUAACAAACCAAAGGAUGAGGACAGUAGCUUUUCUGUGCCAGCCGUGAUGAAUAAAGUAACAUCCUUCAUGAAGAUGUGUGAGAGAAGCUUGUAAGCCAGGGUCAGUGAAGAUUGUGUGGUCAGUGGAAUUCUGCUGUUUAUGGGAAGCGUAAAGGAACAUCUCCCAGCAUUCUUCUUGAUGAUUGAGGUAUUUUUUCUGACUUUCGUGCCUCUUUGGAACAUUUCCAUUCACACAGACUGUGGAGAGAUGGUCUGCACCUUCAUGACAUUUGAAGUUUACUGCCGAUGAAGAGCUUCUGGGACACUGACAGACAGCACUUCCCAGCAAGUUCAUUUGGAGUUCUUGUUUUAUUAAUUUAUUUAUUUAUUUAUUUAAGUCAAACUUGCAUUCACUAAUGCUGGAGUAAGAUUUUAGAAGAAAACUUUCGGUCCCAUUUAAUGUUGGUGCUAGUAAAAGUUUGAGAACUUAUGGCCUGGUUUCACAGACAGGGCUUAGACUAAGCCAGGAUCAUAGUUCAAUAAGGACAUUUAAGUCAUUUUCAUUAACAUACCUUAGAAAAAAACAUUACUGGUGUGCAUCUUGAGACAAAACAAAGGCACUGAUAUUUUUAAAGAUUAGUCAGUGCAAUUUUCUUUCAGUUGAAACUGCUCAGAAUUACAUUUUUGUCCGGGGCUGAUCUUAAGCCUUGUCUGUGAAACCAGGGGUACAAGUAACACAGUUAGGUAAUGUUUUACAUUAAGGUCUCAUUUGUUGUACAUGGACUGAUAAUGUUCUUGAUUUUUUUUGUAUUAAGUGUUUGUAUGUUAUGGGGACCAAAUGACUCCACAAGGAUAGUAAUACCAGUAAAUUUUGACCUUGUGAACAUUUUGAGGACCCCAAUGAGGAAACAGGCUUAUACAUCUUACAGAAUGAUGUUUUCUGUGAUGGCGAGAUUAGGUACUUUUGUAUGUAAGUGAUUUUGCAUUCUUCUCCAGACUCUUUCUAAUAAGUGAGUUAAAGUGUUGUAACUGUAUAAUGUUGGGUUUUUCUUGUGCAUCAGCAAAAAGCACUUUUGUGUAUUUGUUUUAGAGAUUUUGUCAAUAAAUGUAAAGGGUUUUCCA